GAUGAAAUGGCUGAUAAUAGGCGAUAAAUUGUAAAUUUAUAUAUGAAUGUUAUAAUUCUUUCAUUA
This 66-nucleotide transfer RNA is filed under the name Pseudoides sp. BMNH 850825. RNAcentral describes it as "tRNA-Tyr". It matches the Rfam family "tRNA". Rfam says of the family: Transfer RNA (tRNA) molecules are approximately 80 nucleotides in length. Their secondary structure includes four short double-helical elements and three loops (D, anti-codon, and T loops). The record is from RNAcentral. Lineage: Eukaryota; Metazoa; Arthropoda; Insecta; Coleoptera; Chrysomelidae.